RNAcentral lists this ribosomal RNA (462 nucleotides) under Vermamoeba vermiformis. RNAcentral describes it as "SSU rRNA". It matches the Rfam family "Eukaryotic small subunit ribosomal RNA", at positions 1253 to 1717 of the family's 1831-position model. The record is from RNAcentral. Lineage: Eukaryota; Tubulinea; Echinamoebida; Vermamoebidae.
AGCUCUUUCUUGAUUCAGUGGGUGGUGGUGCAUGGCCGUUCUUAGUUGGUGGAGUGAUUUGUCUGGUUAAUUCCGUUAACGAACGAGACCUUAACCUGCUAAAUAGUCACGCGAACCGGUCCGCAAGGGCUCAAAGUUCGCGGCUCGACUUCUUAGAGGGACUAUUCGCACCCGCCAGCGAAUGGAAGUUUGAGGCAAUAACAGGUCUGUGAUGCCCUUAGAUGUUCUCGGCCGCACGCGCGUUACACUGACGGAGUCAACGAGCGUUUUUCCUUGCCCGAUAGGGUUGGGUAACCUCCUGAAACUCCGUCGUGAUGGGGAUAGAUCAUUGCAAUUAUUGAUCUUGAACGAGGAAUUCCUAGUAGGCGCGAGUCAUCAACUCGCGCCGAUUACGUCCCUGCCCUUUGUACACACCGCCCGUCGCUCCUACCGAUUGAACGGUCCGGCGAGAACUCCGGAUGG